This 59-nucleotide transfer RNA is filed under the name Neotoma lepida (desert woodrat). Lineage: Eukaryota; Metazoa; Chordata; Mammalia; Rodentia; Cricetidae. The record is from Rfam by way of RNAcentral.
UGGCUCAGUGGUUAAGAGCACUUGACUGAUCUUCCAGAGGUCCUGAGUUCAAUUCCCAG